This 67-nucleotide transfer RNA is filed under the name marine eukaryotic metagenome. It matches the Rfam family "tRNA", at positions 7 to 64 of the family's 71-position model. From Rfam's summary of the family: Transfer RNA (tRNA) molecules are approximately 80 nucleotides in length. Their secondary structure includes four short double-helical elements and three loops (D, anti-codon, and T loops). Further hydrogen bonds mediate the characteristic L-shaped molecular structure. tRNAs have two regions of fundamental functional importance: the anti-codon, which is responsible for specific mRNA codon recognition, and the 3' end, to which the tRNAs corresponding amino acid is attached (by aminoacyl-tRNA synthetases). tRNAs cope with the degeneracy of the genetic code in two manners: having more than one tRNA (with a specific anti-codon) for a particular amino acid; and 'wobble' base-pairing, i.e. permitting non-standard base-pairing at the 3rd anti-codon position. The record is from RNAcentral.
GUUGUAGCUCAGUUGGUUAGAGCACCGGAUUGUGGUUCCGGGGGUCGUGGGUUCGAAUCCCAUCUUC